CAGCAGUGGGGAAUAUUGCACAAUGGGCGCAAGCCUGAUGCAGCGACGCCGCGUGAGGGAUGACGGCCUUCGGGUUGUAAACCUCUUUCAGCAGGGAAGAAGCGCAAGUGACGGUACCUGCAGAAGAAGCACCGGCUAACUACGUGCCAGCAGCCGCGGUAAUACGUAGGGUGCAAGCGUUGUCCGGAAUUAUUGGGCGUAAAGAGCUCGUAGGCGGCUUGUCGCGUCGGUUGUGAAAGCCCGGGGCUUAACCCUGGGUCUGCAGUCGAUACGGGCAGGCUAGAGUUCGGUAGGGGAGACUGGAAUUCCUGGUGUAGCGGUGAAAUGCGCAGAUAUCAGGAGGAACACCGGUGGCGAAGGCGGGUCUCUGGGCCGAUACUGACGCUGAGGAGCGAAAGCGUGGGGAGCGAACAGGAUUAGAUACCCUGGUAGUCCACGCUGUAAACGGUGGGAACUAGGUGUGGGCAGCAUUCCACGUUGUCUGUGCCGUAGCUAACGCAUUAAGUUCCCCGCCUGGGGAGUACGGCCGCAAGGCUAAAACUCAAAGGAAUUGACGGGGGCCCGCACAAGCGGCGGAGCAUGUGGCUUAAUUCGACGCAACGCGAAGAACCUUACCAAGGCUUGACAUGCAUCGGAAGCAUCC
Molecule: ribosomal RNA, 643 nt
Filed under: Streptomyces griseorubiginosus
Lineage: Bacteria; Bacillati; Actinomycetota; Actinomycetes; Kitasatosporales; Streptomycetaceae
Description: bacterial SSU rRNA
Rfam family: Bacterial small subunit ribosomal RNA
Source: RNAcentral